CGGUGCGCGAGUGACCGGUCGCGGCCGUGAGGCCGAGGAAAGUCCGGACUCCGCAGGGUGAAGGAUCCGUUCGUCAAGGACGGAAGGCGCGGGUAAAGCCGCGCGAUGGAAAGCGCCACAGAAAAUGAAACAGCCUCGCCGCAAGGCGAGGUGAUGGUGAAAGGGUGGGGCAAGAGCCCACCGGGAUGUGCGUGUAAAAGCGCCUCCGCAAGGCAAGCCCUCCUUGGAGCAAGAUCGAAUAGGGAGCUGAACAGGGGACCCCUCUGGCUGUCGUUGCGCGGUAAUACGCGCCUGGCAUGAGGCUUCGGGUAGAUUGCUUAGAGGAAUGACCGGACUUCGCGCCCGAAAGGGUGCGGAGGAACAGAAUCUGGCUUAUUCGCCGCGCACCGCCUU
This 393-nucleotide RNase P RNA is filed under the name Kiritimatiellia bacterium. RNAcentral's name for it is "Kiritimatiellae bacterium (gut metagenome) RNase P RNA component class A". It matches the Rfam family "Bacterial RNase P class A". From Rfam's summary of the family: Ribonuclease P (RNase P) is a ubiquitous endoribonuclease, found in archaea, bacteria and eukarya as well as chloroplasts and mitochondria. Its best characterised activity is the generation of mature 5'-ends of tRNAs by cleaving the 5'-leader elements of precursor-tRNAs. Cellular RNase Ps are ribonucleoproteins. The record is from RNAcentral. Lineage: Bacteria; Pseudomonadati; Kiritimatiellota; Kiritimatiellia.